GACGAACCGAGCGAACGUUGUUCGGAAUCACUGGGCUUAAAGGGCGCGUAGGCGGGCUGCCAAGUUUGGGGUGAAAUCCUCCGGCUCAACCGGGGAAGUGCCUCGAAUACUGGCGGUCUGGAGGGAGGUAGGGGCGUGCGGAACUAACGGUGGAGCGGUGAAAUGCGUUGAUAUCGUUAGGAACUCCGGUGGCGAAGGCGGCACGCUGGACCUUUUCUGACGCUGAGGCGCGAAAGCCAGGGGAGCGAACGGG
RNAcentral lists this ribosomal RNA (253 nucleotides) under uncultured bacterium. Its description in RNAcentral is "partial 16S ribosomal RNA". It matches the Rfam family "Bacterial small subunit ribosomal RNA", at positions 524 to 776 of the family's 1533-position model. The record is from RNAcentral.